ACCCCCAACAAUAGUGUCAGACCGGAUACACACAACCCCCUAUCCGUCAAGCGUUUCAUUCAACCAACACACAAACAUACAACCAAAACAUUCCAUACACCUAACCCUAAUACCAAGAGCAUACCCCAUACCACCACCAACAAAUUGACCAUCAACUUGAGACCCAACAUCGCUUCGCACUCACCCCAUCACCCUACCAAAGUCUCCUUAGCCAGAACACCCAACGAUC
RNAcentral lists this long non-coding RNA (229 nucleotides) under Lathyrus oleraceus (garden pea). RNAcentral's name for it is "Pisum sativum (pea) long non-coding RNA (PSAT_LNC014005)". Lineage: Eukaryota; Viridiplantae; Streptophyta; Magnoliopsida; Fabales; Fabaceae. The record is from RNAcentral.